RNAcentral lists this ribosomal RNA (404 nucleotides) under uncultured archaeon. RNAcentral's name for it is "bacterial SSU rRNA". It matches the Rfam family "Archaeal small subunit ribosomal RNA", at positions 597 to 997 of the family's 1478-position model. The record is from RNAcentral.
AACCGGGAGAGGUAAGAGGUACUACAGGGGUAGGAGUGAAAUCUUGUAAUCCCUGUGGGACCACCUGUGGCGAAGGCGUCUUACCAGAACGGGUUCGACGGUGAGGGACGAAAGCUGGGGGCACGAACCGGAUUAGAUACCCGGGUAGUCCCAGCCGUAAACGAUGCUCGCUAGGUGUCAGGCAUGGCGCGACCGUGUCUGGUGCCGCAGGGAAGCCGUGAAGCGAGCCACCUGGGAAGCACGGCCGCAAGGCUGAAACUUAAAGGAAUUGGCGGGGGAGCACAACAACGGGUGGAGCCCCUGCGGUUUAAUUGGACUCAACGCCGGACAACUCACCGGGGGCGACAGCAAUAUGUAGGCCAAGCUGAAGACUUUGCCUGAAUCCGCUGAGUAGAGGUGCAUGG